UACAGAGGGUGCAAACGUUGUUCGGAAUUACUGGGCGUAAAGCGCGUGUAGGCGGUCUAAAAAGUCAGGUGUGAAAGCCCCGGGCUCAACCCGGGAAGUGCACUUGAAACUGCUAGGCUAGAGUACUGGAGAGGUUGGUGGAAUUCUCGGUGUAGAGGUGAAAUUCGUAGAUAUCGAGAGGAACACCGGUGGCGAAGGCGGCCAACUGGACAGAUACUGACGCUGAGACUCGAAAGCGUGGGGAGCAAACAGG
RNAcentral lists this ribosomal RNA (253 nucleotides) under uncultured bacterium. RNAcentral describes it as "partial 16S ribosomal RNA". It matches the Rfam family "Bacterial small subunit ribosomal RNA", at positions 524 to 776 of the family's 1533-position model. The record is from RNAcentral.